Molecule: non-coding RNA, 210 nt
Filed under: Proteiniclasticum ruminis
Lineage: Bacteria; Bacillati; Bacillota; Clostridia; Eubacteriales; Clostridiaceae
Description: T-box sequence
Rfam family: T-box leader
About the family: Uncharged tRNA acts as the effector for transcription antitermination of genes in the T-box leader family.
Source: RNAcentral
ACAAAUGCGAAGAUGGGAAGAGUACAAAAGGAAACCUCUUGUAGAGAGCCGGGAAUGGUGGAAGCCUGGCAGUAAGGACCUUUUCGAAAAACGACCCGUAGCAUCCCUUUGGAAGGAAGAGUACAGAGGGACGGACCUGCCGUUAUCGGAUAAAGUUGACAGGGCACAGCUCUGUAAAUUGGGUGGUACCGCGAGAUCCUCGUCCCUUUG